UACAGAGGCCUCAAGCGUUGUUCGGAAUUACUGGGCGUAAAGGGAAUGUAGGCGGUAGCGUAAGUCAGAUGUGAAAGCCCUGGGCUUAACCUGGGAACUGCAUUUGAUACUGCGUUGCUAGAGUGCGAGAGAGGAAAGGGGAAUUCCUGGUGUAGGGGUGAAAUCCGUAGAUAUCAGGAGGAAUACCGAUGGCGAAGGCACCUUUCUGGCUCGUAACUGACGCUGAGAUUCGAAAGCGUGGGUAGCAAACAGG
This 253-nucleotide unclassified non-coding RNA is filed under the name uncultured Pseudobdellovibrionaceae bacterium. RNAcentral describes it as "uncultured Bdellovibrionaceae bacterium contains 16S-23S intergenic spacer region". It matches the Rfam family "Bacterial small subunit ribosomal RNA", at positions 524 to 776 of the family's 1533-position model. Lineage: Bacteria; Pseudomonadati; Bdellovibrionota; Bdellovibrionia; Bdellovibrionales; Pseudobdellovibrionaceae. The record is from RNAcentral.